RNAcentral lists this ribosomal RNA (253 nucleotides) under uncultured bacterium. RNAcentral describes it as "partial 16S ribosomal RNA". It matches the Rfam family "Bacterial small subunit ribosomal RNA", at positions 524 to 776 of the family's 1533-position model. The record is from RNAcentral.
UACGUAGGGUGCGAGCGUUGUCCGGAAUUAUUGGGCGUAAAGGGCUCGUAGGCGGUUUUGCAAGUCGGGUGUGAAAUCCCCAGGCUUAACCUGGGAACUGCAUUCGAGACUGCAUUGCUAGAGUAUGGGAGAGGGAAGUGGAAUUUCCGGUGUAGCGGUGAAAUGCGUAGAUAUCGGAAGGAACAUCAGUGGCGAAAGCGACUUCCUGGACCAAUACUGACGCUCAUGUGCGAAAGCGUGGGGAGCAAACAGG